This 452-nucleotide ribosomal RNA is filed under the name uncultured Sphingobacteriales bacterium. Its description in RNAcentral is "bacterial SSU rRNA". It matches the Rfam family "Bacterial small subunit ribosomal RNA", at positions 342 to 791 of the family's 1533-position model. Lineage: Bacteria; Pseudomonadati; Bacteroidota; Sphingobacteriia; Sphingobacteriales. The record is from RNAcentral.
CGGGGGGCAGCAGUAAGGAAUAUUGGUCAAUGGGCGCAAGCCUGAACCAGCCAUGCCGCGUGAAGGAUGACGGCCCUAUGGGUUGUAAACUUCUUUUGUACGGGAAUAAACCCAGGUACGUGUACCUGGCUGAAUGUACCGUAAGAAUAAGGAUCGGCUAACUCCGUGCCAGCAGCCGCGGUAAUACGGAGGAUCCAAGCGUUAUCCGGAUUCAUUGGGUUUAAAGGGUGCGUAGGCGGACUUAUAAGUCAGUGGUGAAAUCCUGCAGCUUAACUGCAGAACUGCCAUUGAUACUGUAAGUCUUGAGUGUGUUUGAAGUGGGCGGAAUGUGUCAUGUAGCGGUGAAAUGCUUAGAUAUGACACAGAACACCGAUUGCGUAGGCAGCUCACUAAACCACAACUGACGCUGAGGCACGACAGCGUGGGGAUCAAACAGGAUUAGAUACCCGAGU